This 510-nucleotide ribosomal RNA is filed under the name uncultured bacterium. RNAcentral's name for it is "partial 16S ribosomal RNA". It matches the Rfam family "Bacterial small subunit ribosomal RNA", at positions 28 to 507 of the family's 1533-position model. The record is from RNAcentral.
GACGAACGCUGGCGGCGUGCUUAACACAUGCAAGUCGAACGAAGAGCGAUGGAAGCUUGCUUCUAUCAAUCUUAGUGGCGAACGGGUGAGUAACGCGUAAUCAACCUGCCCUUCAGAGGGGGACAACAGUUGGAAACGACUGCUAAUACCGCAUACGAUCUAAUCUCGGCAUCGAGGAUAGAUGAAAGGUGGCCUCUACAUGUAAGCUAUCACUGAAGGAGGGGAUUGCGUCUGAUUAGCUAGUUGGAGGGGUAACGGCCCACCAAGGCGAUGAUCAGUAGCCGGUCUGAGAGGAUGAACGGCAACAUUGGGACUGAGACACGGCCCAGACUCCUACGGGAGGCAGCAGUGGGGAAUCUUCCGCAAUGGACGAAAGUCUGACGGAGCAACGCCGCGUGAGUGAUGACGGCCUUCGGGUUGUAAAGCUCUGUUAAUCGGGACGAAAGGCCUUCUUGCGAAUAGGGAGAAGGAUUGACGGUACCGGAAUAGAAAGCCACGGCUAACUACGUG